Molecule: ribosomal RNA, 352 nt
Filed under: Thiothrix eikelboomii
Lineage: Bacteria; Pseudomonadati; Pseudomonadota; Gammaproteobacteria; Thiotrichales; Thiotrichaceae
Description: bacterial SSU rRNA
Rfam family: Bacterial small subunit ribosomal RNA
Source: RNAcentral
GCGUGUAGGUGGAUCGUUAAGUCGGCGGUGAAAUCCCGGGGCUCAACCCCGGAACUGCCUUCGAUACUGGCGAUCUUGAGGGUGAGAGAGGCGAGUGGAAUUUCGAGUGUAGCAGUGAAAUGCGUAGAUAUUCGAAGGAACACCAGUGGCGAAGGCGACUCGCUGGCUCACUACUGACACUGAGAUGCGAAAGCGUGGGGAGCAAACAGGAUUAGAUACCCUGGUAGUCCACGCCGUAAACUAUGGAUGCUAGCCGUUGGGAAGCUUGCUUUUCGGUGGCGCAGCUAACGCAAUAAGCAUCCCGCCUGGGGAGUACGGCCGCAAGGUUAAAACUCAAAGGAAUUGACGGGGG